This 593-nucleotide long non-coding RNA is filed under the name Rattus norvegicus (Norway rat). Its description in RNAcentral is "long non-coding RNA NONRATT031260". Lineage: Eukaryota; Metazoa; Chordata; Mammalia; Rodentia; Muridae. The record is from RNAcentral.
AUGAUCUGUGGCUAAUAUGGCGUCUCUCUGCCCUUCCUUUGCAGUAACCCAUGGCUGUGUACUGAAUAGUAUGCCCUGCUACAGCUGGACUGGACUCCACUUAGCCUUUUAAGCGAAGGUUCUUAUUUUAACUGACAACUUUUUUUAAAAUGGUGCCAGACAGCUGGGCCCUCCACCCCUGCUCUGGUACUUCAAGCAUUUUGGUUUUUUUGUUUUGUUUUGUUUUGUUUUUUGAGUUCUGCAACUUGCUUCUGCCUUCCAGUCCCACUGGCACGGACCAUGACCUUCUUCUUUUUUCUUGUUAUAAAGGUGGCUGUAUGAUCACUACCUCUAAAGAAAUUCAAGGUGAUAAUAAAUUUACAGGCCUUCUGAACUGUUACGAAAAGGCAGGGGCCAUUGUCUACAGUCAUAGUUAAUAACUUAAACCUAAGACUAAGCCCAAAGCAGAACUAGUUAAAGGCAAGCAAGUCUAUGUGCGAACUUUCUCUUUUCUAGUUGGCAAAGAAGUGGUUUUGAUGCGUACUGGCCAGCGGACAGAGGCAAGUACAGGGUGACAAUGUGAAAGCAUGUGGUUGUCCUUGAGGAAAGCCAAC